UGAGCAGAAGGGGAUGUGAAGACAGAUCCUUGAUGUCCACAGGUGCGGGGACUGCUUGCCAACCCAUGGCAACUCACCUGUAGCGCAUGGAGAUUUGGGGGUAAACCCAGUGAUGCUGAGUAUGUGGGCUGCCCAAGCUGGGUGGCAACCAACCCCAGCAUUGAAUGUGCUGAGAGCUGGACCGGUGGAUGUCCCCACUGCCCUGAGGCAGGUCCAGGAGAAGGCUCCUACCUGCUGUGCAGAGGGCAAGCUCAUGGCUGUCAGAGGCUCCUAACUGCACCCACCCCCGAUCAGCCAAAGCCAAUUACUCC
Molecule: long non-coding RNA, 311 nt
Filed under: Homo sapiens (human)
Lineage: Eukaryota; Metazoa; Chordata; Mammalia; Primates; Hominidae
Description: non-protein coding lnc-PARD6B-1:5
Source: RNAcentral